UGAAGGGUAGGCCUUUGACUCUGGGUGGUAGGACAGACAUAGGAGAACAGGGUGGGGCUCUAGAGGACCAGGCGGGGCUUCUGGGGGCCAAAGGGAAGGACCAGCUGCUGGGCAGGAGGGGCUUUCCGGCCAGUGGCCUGGGGUGGCUUGGUUUUGAAUUUCCGCUCUGCGGGCCACGUCCUGUACACAGCCUCUCAGCCAGCACGUCUGCACACGUGCAUGGCUGCUGGGAAUGGGGGUCACUCCGACUGACCAUCAUCUCCACAUGUAUUUUCCAUUGCUCAGACAUCUGACUGUUGGUGUGAGACCAGUGCUCCUGGUGGUGUGCCCUGAGCCAUGGAGGCGCCUUUGCAGACAGAGAUGGUGGAGCUGGUGCCCAAUGGCAAACACUCAGAGGGGCUGCUCCCGGUCAUCACCCCCAUGGCAGGCAACCAGAGGUCGAGGACCCUGCACGGAGCUGUAUGGAGGGCAAGAGCUUCCUACAGAAAAGUCCCAGCAAGGAGCCACACUUCACUGACUUCGAGGGGAAGACAUCAUUCGGGAUGUCAGUGUUCAACCUCAGCAAUGCCAUCAUGGGCAGCGGCAUCCUGGGACUCGCCUAUGCCAUGGCCAAUACGGGCAUUAUCCUUUUCCUG
RNAcentral lists this long non-coding RNA (635 nucleotides) under Homo sapiens (human). Its description in RNAcentral is "long non-coding RNA NONHSAT089798.2". The record is from RNAcentral. Lineage: Eukaryota; Metazoa; Chordata; Mammalia; Primates; Hominidae.